GGGCGUGUAGCUCAGUGGAUUAGAGCACGUGGCUACGAACCACGGUGUCGGGGGUUCGAGUCCCUCCUUGCCCG
This 74-nucleotide transfer RNA is filed under the name Hildenbrandia rubra. RNAcentral's name for it is "tRNA-Arg". It matches the Rfam family "tRNA". Rfam says of the family: Transfer RNA (tRNA) molecules are approximately 80 nucleotides in length. Their secondary structure includes four short double-helical elements and three loops (D, anti-codon, and T loops). Lineage: Eukaryota; Rhodophyta; Florideophyceae; Hildenbrandiales; Hildenbrandiaceae. The record is from RNAcentral.